Molecule: long non-coding RNA, 248 nt
Filed under: Gossypium raimondii (Peruvian cotton)
Lineage: Eukaryota; Viridiplantae; Streptophyta; Magnoliopsida; Malvales; Malvaceae
Description: long non-coding RNA (GRAI_LNC001418)
Source: RNAcentral
GUUAAAAUGAGAAGUACGAGCAUUUGAAGACAUUUUGAAAUAGGUACGUAAAAAAAAGUUCGAAAAAAAAAUUUGAAAAAAAAAUUUGAAAGAAAAAAAAUUUGAAAGAAAAAAAUUGUAUACGGUUUAGGUGCGGACGAAAAGAACUUGAAAGAUCCGUAAAAAAAAAGAGUCUGGAGACACUUCAAUAGAAAUUUUUCCAAAAUCUCAUUCUACACUCUUUUAUAUCCCCCGUAGUGAAAUUUCAC